GACGAACGCUGGCGGCGUGCUUAACACAUGCAAGUCGAACGGAAAGGCCCUGCUUUUGUGGGGUGCUCGAGUGGCGAACGGGUGAGUAACACGUGAGUAACCUGCCCUGGACUUUGGGAUAACUUCAGGAAACUGGGGCUAAUACCGGAUAGGAGCUCCUGCUGCAUGGUGGGGGUUGGAAAGUUUCGGCGGUUGGGGAUGGACGCGCGGCUUAUCAGCUUGUUGGUGGGGUAGUGGCUUACCAAGGCAUUGACGGGUAGCCGGCCUGAGAGGGUGACCGGGCACAUUGGGACUGAGGUACGACCCGGGCUGCUUCGGGGGGCAUCGGUGGGAAAUAUUGCCCAAUAGGCGGAAGCCUGAUACAGCGACUCCGCGUGCGGGAUGACGGCCUUCGGGUUGUAAACCGCUUUCGCCUGUGACGAAGCGUAAGUGACGGUAAUGGGUAAAGAAGCACCGGCUAACUACGUG
Molecule: ribosomal RNA, 468 nt
Filed under: uncultured bacterium
Lineage: Bacteria
Description: partial 16S ribosomal RNA
Rfam family: Bacterial small subunit ribosomal RNA
Source: RNAcentral